This 89-nucleotide transfer RNA is filed under the name synthetic construct. Its description in RNAcentral is "tRNA-Phe". The stretch from base 6 to 78 matches the Rfam family "tRNA". Rfam says of the family: Transfer RNA (tRNA) molecules are approximately 80 nucleotides in length. The record is from RNAcentral.
AGCUCGCGGAUUUAGCUCAGUUGGGAGAGCGCCAGACUCUAGAUCUGGAGGUCCUGUGUUCGAUCCACAGAAUUCGCAUUUUUUGGUAC